CCCUCCCGUCCCCGCCCCCUCGGCCGCUCCGCUCCCUGGCGUGACUCGGCAUAGAGAGCCCUGGGAGCAGCCAGCGCGGCCGCUGCCUCCUCCGUCCAGGCCUCGGCGCCCCCCGAGCCGCUCCCUUUCCUCUCUCGGGUUCUCCUCGGCUUCAUUUUGGAAGCCGGUGGUGUCGCGGCCGCCCUUCCAGGCCCUCCGUGAGGAUGGUGGGAGUGAAGCCGGUCGGGAGCGACCCGGAUUUCCAGCCGGAGCUGAGCGGCGCGGGCUCCAGACUCGCCGUGGUCAAGUUCACCAUGAGAGGGUGUGGACCAUGUUUGAGGAUUGCCCCAGCAUUCAGUUCUAUGAGUAAUAAAUAUCCUCAGGCUGUUUUCUUGGAAGUAGAUGUACAUCAGUGUCAGGGAACAGCUGCCACCAACAAUAUAUCAGCAACACCUACAUUUUUGUUUUUUCGAAACAAAGUGAGAAUUGAUCAAUAUCAAGGAGCAGAUGCUGUGGGACUAGAAGAAAAAAUCAAGCAGCAUUUAGAAAAUGACCCUGGAAGCAAUGAGGACACAGAUAUUCCAAAAGGCUAUAUGGAUCUAAUGCCUUUUAUUAAUAAAGCUGGCUGUGAAUGUCUUAAUGAAAGUGAUGAACAUGGUUUUGACAAUUGUUUACGAAAAGACCUGACCUUUUUGGAAUCUGACUGUGAUGAACAGCUGCUUAUUACUGUGGCUUUCAAUCAACCUGUUAAGCUUUAUUCCAUGAAAUUUCAAGGGCCAGAUAAUGGUCAGGGUCCGAAGUAUGUAAAAAUCUUUAUCAACCUACCCCGAUCUAUGGAUUUUGAAGAGGCAGAAAGAAGUGAACCAACUCAAGCUCUGGAACUAACAGAGGAUGAUAUUAAAGAAGAUGGCAUUGUUCCACUUCGUUAUGUCAAGUUUCAGAAUGUGAACAGUGUAACUAUAUUUGUUCAGUCCAAUCAAGGUGAAGAAGAAACAACAAGAAUUUCAUAUUUUACUUUUAUUGGUACUCCAGUCCAAGCAACAAAUAUGAAUGAUUUCAAGCGACUUUCUGCUGUUGAAUAGCCCGGGAGCCAGGGGGUGAUGACUCCAGUAGUUAGGCCUCUGCCACACAUGUGGGAGACCAGAUUGAGUUCCUGGCUCAUAGCUGCAGCCUGACCCAGCCACAAAAGUUGUGGGUAAUGGAGAAUGAAACAGCAGGUAGUUGGCAAAAAAGGAGAAAGCCACUAAGGUGCAAAAGACACUGGAAGACCAUAUUGCAAUCAGAUCUACAGCUCCUGGAUAAUUGCUUGAUUCUCGCCAGAGACUGUCAAUGUUUCAUUCAUUACCAUUACCAAUAAAUCAUUGCUUUUGUUCA
RNA transcript from Lepus europaeus (European hare), 1353 nucleotides. It is a transcript of the gene named thioredoxin like 1, with no coding region annotated. NCBI's taxonomy places the organism in Eukaryota, Metazoa, Chordata, Mammalia, Lagomorpha, Leporidae. The transcript has 9 exons. The record is from RefSeq and is a predicted model, not a curated record.